RNAcentral lists this long non-coding RNA (286 nucleotides) under Gallus gallus (chicken). Lineage: Eukaryota; Metazoa; Chordata; Aves; Galliformes; Phasianidae. The record is from RNAcentral.
AUAUAUAUAUAUGUUUAUACAUAUCAAUACUGAAGUACUAAGACAACACUUACCUAGGCCACAUUCUCCAACUGCUAUUACCUUUGUCUUAUUCUUUUCAAUCAGACUUUUUAAUUCUGACAAAUACUGGUCAGGGUUACUCUGCUCAAAUUCCCCGCAGCGCGUAGGGUGGCAGCCAGCUGUGCUGUAAAACAUAUCAUUGGUCUGUGCCAGCUGCAAUGCAUCUUUACUGUCCUGGAGACUCCCACCUGUAAUCAAAAACUUUUUCACACCAACUGCGACAGCU